UGCGGUGACCCCCGGUGCUGUAAUGUGUGCUGCCAUUUUGCAGCGUCACUUUACUGCACCAGGGGUCAUAGCGCAGCACAUGGAGGACACGGCACCCGGCAGCCCGCAAAGGAGAACAGAUCACCGGCUCCCGGACGGGAAUGGCGGAACCUGAGAGGGCCUAGGUCCUAGGAAGGAGGCUGGGAACAAUGAAAGGUGAGAAGGAGCCUGAGACAAAGAGGCGUCUUAUAAGAUUGGAAACCUAAAUUGGUUAUGGAGAAAACAUCUGAAUGUGGAUCCAUGUAGGCGAAACCAAAUCAACCAUGAGUGGGAUCAAUACAAAAGGUUGACAAGCCAAAGAGAACAAACAGAAAACUUUAGAAGAAUAAAAAUACUGCAAGAGAUUUUAGAAAGUAUAUCAAAAUAGAUUCCCCAAGUAAAUUGAACCAAUAAUAUAUACUCAGACUAGAGGCAUGUAGAAACAACUAUUGGAAGAAAUAAACUGCAUUAUAGAAACAAAGUGGGAACCUUUGAGAAAUAAAAGCGAGGAGACUGGCUGCCGCAUUUUACUCUUUACAUGCUCACCUGGAUUUAACCAGUGGACCUGGCGCUCCCACUAAAACUGACAGUAGUAACUUCACAAGAACAGAAAUUUGGAUGAAUAAGUGUUAAAGACAAAAUGAAAAAUUUCUGUUGUCUUUUCAUAUGGGUAACCAAAUGUGUCAUCGCCUGCAAAUGGAAAAUGUCAUCACCUGGUGGACGGUCCGUUGAAAGAAAUAAUGUUCCAGAAUAAAUGAGAGUACUGGUACCAUAAGCCUUCCUGAGUAGAGUGCGGACGGGUCACGUAUCUCACUGCAUCUUCAACCCAUCCAGAGAGAUGACUCUGUUAUCUGGAUAAGCAUCUUCCAGCUCCGACUGCUGACUGGCCAUCCCGCAGGCCCAGGAGCAUGCUGAUUGGUCCAUCCAUUUCCCAGUAACUAGAAAUGAUUCCACUGUACAUUAUCCAGAGUGGCGCCCCUAGCCUAAUGGGAAAUUCACCACAGAUGGUACAAAAAUCUGGUGAGCUACAGUUGUGCCCAGAAAAUGAACAAGUACCUUUCUUUGUUAUUAAUCAA
Molecule: long non-coding RNA, 1094 nt
Organism: Pseudophryne corroboree (corroboree frog)
Lineage: Eukaryota; Metazoa; Chordata; Amphibia; Anura; Myobatrachidae
Exons: 6
Source: RefSeq, a predicted model, not a curated record